This 474-nucleotide ribosomal RNA is filed under the name Rhinobatos sainsburyi. Its description in RNAcentral is "partial small subunit ribosomal RNA". The stretch from base 54 to 474 matches the Rfam family "Bacterial small subunit ribosomal RNA", at positions 875 to 1491 of the family's 1533-position model. The record is from RNAcentral. Lineage: Eukaryota; Metazoa; Chordata; Chondrichthyes; Rhinopristiformes; Rhinobatidae.
UACUAUGCUUAACCCUAAACAUCAUUAAUUAAACCCUACCACUUUACCCGCCCGAGUACUACAAGCGCUAGCUUCAAACCCAAAGGACUUGGCGGUGCCCCAGACCCACCUAGAGGAGCCUGUUCUAUAACCGAUAAUCCCCGUUAAACCUCACCACUUCUAGCCAUUACCGCCUAUAUACCGCCGUCGUCAGCUCACCCCAUGAGGGAACAAAAGUAAGCAAAAUGAACCUACCUCCAAUACGUCAGGUCGAGGUGUAGCGAAUGAAGUGGAAAGAAAUGGGCUACAUUUCCUAUUAAGGAAAAACGAACAGUACAAUGAAAAAUUACUUAAAGGUGGAUUUAGCAGUAAGAAAAUCUUAGAAUACUACUCUGAAACCGGCUCUGAGGCGCGCACACACCGCCCGUCACUCUCCUCAACACAAAAAAAUCACUACAUAAACAAACUUAACCAACAAGAGGAGGCAAGUCGUAA